Xenia sp. Carnegie-2017 is the source of this 662-nucleotide long non-coding RNA. RefSeq lists it as uncharacterized. The record is from RefSeq and is a predicted model, not a curated record. NCBI's taxonomy places the organism in Eukaryota, Metazoa, Cnidaria, Anthozoa, Malacalcyonacea, Xeniidae. The transcript has 3 exons.
UCAUAAGGUUUUUUAUGAUCACGAGUUUAUCGUGUUGGAAAAGUUGAUCGGCUGAUAUAUGUACUUUAAACCUAAUCAAAAAGCAAUUUAAUUAGUUUCAUCCUAUCUUGCGCAGCCUGUUUAUCUUCAACAAUAUAGUUGGUAAAUAAAUACAAGCAAAUAUCAGGUACGACGCUAUGAAUUAUUUGACAUUUGUCAUUUUUGUUUUGGCUUUUUCUCGUUUUUGUUUACCUCAUCUGUUCACAAUCGUUAAACAAGAUAAUGAAAAAGCAGGCACAACACUCGACCCUUGCCUAUGCACAGACGGUACUCAAAGAGUCGGUGUAAUACGCAUGUUUGCUUGUUAUACCUCAGAAAAGACUUGUGGACCUGGGAAAAUACCUUUAACUCUUUGCUGCAUCUUAGUGUAACGCACUUUCAACAUUGACUGAUCUUCAAUCGAACCAGUAUAUAAAUCACAAUGAACUGUAGGCUUCAAUUAUUGUUUAAUGGUUGAAUCAUGUUAAAUUAAUUCAUUUGAAAUCAAAGACAAUCUGAGUUUAGUUUAUCUUGAAAAUUACAAUGUAGUUCAAAAAUACUUUGCAAUAAUGAAAGUAAACGUUUAGCCUGCUCGCAGCCUAAGUGACGAAAUUGAGGCUGCGAGCAGGCUAGUAAUUAGUAAA